This 208-nucleotide unclassified non-coding RNA is filed under the name Hevea brasiliensis (rubber tree). The record is from RNAcentral. Lineage: Eukaryota; Viridiplantae; Streptophyta; Magnoliopsida; Malpighiales; Euphorbiaceae.
UAGCGAUUAGUCCCAUGCUUGGCCCAGUGGUCCUUGAGAUCAACUGGAUUUGAGAGGUCAUAGCCUUCAGCGGCAAGCCGGCUAAGUAGUUUGCUGAAAGCACUUCCACUCAUCUUUCUUCCACCCACACGGGCGUGCCGCUUAUUUGGCACAGCAGGCAAUGGAUACAUGGAUAGAGCGGUUGUGCAACAUGAAGACUGCCAUCCAC